AUGAAAUAUCAACAUGGAUGCAGAGUUGGUUCGCUGCCGCAAGCCACACUGAGAGAGUUCAUGAUCCAGGGACUAUAUGGGUUGUGGUUAGCAAAGAAUGAGGCGAGAGAUGGCAAGAAAAUUGCAGAUCCCCGGGCAGUGGCAGAAAGCGUUUGUGAUCAUGUACGGGAGUGGCUCUCGGGGCAUACAAAACAAAAAACGAUCAAGACGCCGAAAUCGGUCAAGCAUUGGAAGCAGCCUGACCAAGGAUGGAUUAAAGUUAAUACAGAUGGUGCUGUGUCGAAAGUGCAAGACAAAGGGGGAGGUGGAGUGAUCCUACGAGACCAUGAAGGUGCUUAUAGAGGAGGAGCUGCAAUGUUCUUCCCCAGUGCUACUGACCCUCAAGUUGCUGAAGUGUUGGCUGUGAGGAGGGGGGUUAAACUAGCGACAGAGAGGAGUAUAGAAAAUUCAUCUGGAACUAGCCAGCAAAAGCGUUGUCUCUAUGUUGAAUGA
This 492-nucleotide ribosomal RNA is filed under the name Triticum aestivum (bread wheat). RNAcentral's name for it is "partial small subunit ribosomal RNA". Lineage: Eukaryota; Viridiplantae; Streptophyta; Magnoliopsida; Poales; Poaceae. The record is from RNAcentral.